UUUUAGCCCGGAUGGAAACGGCAUCUUUUUUCUUUCAUUGCGAUUACGAAAAGUCGUAACAGAUUACUUCACUCCGUUUGCAAUGACAGAAAAAAAUAUAGUGGACAGCCGGACGGAUC
Molecule: small RNA, 119 nt
Filed under: Kaistella chaponensis
Lineage: Bacteria; Pseudomonadati; Bacteroidota; Flavobacteriia; Flavobacteriales; Weeksellaceae
Description: Chryseobacterium chaponense Flavo-1 RNA
Rfam family: Flavo-1 RNA
Source: RNAcentral